RNAcentral lists this ribosomal RNA (1296 nucleotides) under metagenome. Its description in RNAcentral is "bacterial SSU rRNA". It matches the Rfam family "Bacterial small subunit ribosomal RNA", at positions 187 to 1498 of the family's 1533-position model. The record is from RNAcentral.
UUAAGAUUCCUUUUCUAAAGAUUUAUCGCUUGAGGAGUGGCUCGCGUCCCAUUAGCUAGUUGGUAAGGUAACGGCUUACCAAGGCAAUGAUGGGUAGGUGGUCUGAGAGGAUGGUCACCCACACUGGGACUGAGACACUGCCCAGACUCCUACGGGAGGCUGCAGUCGAGAAUCUUCCGCAAUGCGCGAAAGCGUGACGGAGCAAUGCCGCGUGCAGGAUGAAGGCCUUCGGGUUGUAAACUGCUGUCACCGGGGAUGAAUAAAUGACAGUACCCGGAGAGGAAGCCACGGCCAACUACGUGCCAGCAGCCGCGGUAUGCGUAGGUGGCGAGCGUUGUUCGGAAUUAUUGGGCGUAAAGGGUCCGCAGGUGGUUUAUUAAGUCUGAUGUGAAAUCUGAAGGCUCAACCUUCAAACUGCAUUGGAAACUGAUAGACUAGAGUGCUGGAGAGGUGAAUGGAAUUCCAGGUGUAGCGGUGGAAUGCGUAGAUAUCUGGAGGAACACCAAAAGCGAAGGCAGUUCACUGGACAGAUACUGACACUCAGGGACGAAAGCGUGGGGAGCAAACAGGAUUAGAUACCCUGGUAGUCCACGCCGUAAACGUUGUAUACUAGUUGUAGGAGGAUUUAGCCCCUUCUGUGACUGAGCUAACGCAUUAAGUAUACCGCCUGGGGACUACGGCCGCAAGGCUAAAACUCAAAGGAAUUGACGGGGCCCCGCACAAGCGGUGGAGCAUGUGGCUUAAUUCGAGGCAACGCGAAGAACCUUACCUAGAUUUGACAUAUACCUGACCGCCAUAGAAAUAUGGCUUUUCCUUCGGGACGAGUAUACAGGUGCUGCAUGGCUGUCGUCAGCUCGUGCUGUGAAGUGUUCGGUUAAGUCCGGCAACGAGCGCAACCCGCGUCGUUAGUUACCAUCAGGUUAUGCUGGGGACUCUAGCGAGACUGCCCGUGUUAAGCGGGAGGAAGGCGCGGAUGACGUCAAGUCCGUAUGGCCUUUAUAUCUAGGGCUGCACACGUGCUACAAUGGUUGGUACAAUGGGACGCAAUAUCGCGAGAUGGAGCAAAUCCUUAAAACCAAUCUUAGUUCGGAUUGUAGUCUGCAACUCGACUACAUGAAGCCGGAAUCGCUAGUAAAGGCGUAUCAGCUACGACGCCUUGAAUACGUUCCCGGGGCUUGUACACACCGCCCGUCACAUCAUGGAAGCUUAUUGCACCCAAAGUCGUUGACCCAACUUUUAACGAGAGGGAGACGCCUAAGGCGUGGUUAGUAACUGGGAUGAAGUCGUAACAAGGUA